RNAcentral lists this ribosomal RNA (248 nucleotides) under Fusobacterium necrophorum. RNAcentral's name for it is "16S rRNA. Bacterial SSU". It matches the Rfam family "Bacterial small subunit ribosomal RNA", at positions 1 to 256 of the family's 1533-position model. The record is from RNAcentral. Lineage: Bacteria; Fusobacteriati; Fusobacteriota; Fusobacteriia; Fusobacteriales; Fusobacteriaceae.
AUCGAACGAAGAGUUUGAUCCUGGCUCAGGAUGAACGCUGACAGAAUGCUUAACACAUGCAAGUCGACUCGAGUCUUCGGACUUGGGUGGCGCACGGGUGAGUAACGCGUAAAGAACUUGCCUCUUAGACCGGGACAACAUCUGGAAACGGAUGCUAAUACCGGAUAUUAUGGUUUUUUCGCAUGGAGGAAUCAUGAAAGCUAGAUGCGCUAAGAGAGAGCUUUGCGUCCCAUUAGCUGGUUGGUGAG